This 377-nucleotide ribosomal RNA is filed under the name uncultured bacterium. Its description in RNAcentral is "bacterial SSU rRNA". It matches the Rfam family "Bacterial small subunit ribosomal RNA", at positions 523 to 898 of the family's 1533-position model. The record is from RNAcentral.
AUACGUAGGGGGCGAGCGUUGUCCGGAAUUAUUGGGCGUAAAGGGCGCGUAGGCGGUGACACAAGUCAGGUGAUAAAGGCACAGGCUCAACCGGUGUUAGGCACUUGAAACUGUGUUGCUAGAGUGCAGGAGAGGGGAGUGGAAUUCCAGGUGUAGCGGUGAAAUGCGUAGAUAUCUGGAAGAACACCAGUGGCGAAGGCGGCUCUCUGGACUGUAACUGACGCUGAGGCGCGAAAGCUGGGGGAGCAAACAGGAUUAGAUACCCUGGUAGUCCCAGCCGUAAACGAUGAACACUAGGUGUAGGGGGUAUCGACCCCCCCUGUGCCGGAGCUAACGCAAUAAGUAUCCCGCCUGGGGAGUACGGUCGCAAGGCUGAA